UUCAGGUUUAAGGUGGUAGGCUGAAAUCUUAGGUAAAUCCGGGGUUUCGAGGCCGAGAGCUGAUGACGAGUCGUCUUUUAGAUGACGAAGUGGUUGAUGCCAUGCUUCCAAGAAAAGCUUCUAAGCUUCAGGUAACCAGGAACCGUACCCCAAACCGACACAGGUGGUCGGGUAGAGAAUACCAAGGCGCUUGAGAGAACUCGGGUGAAGGAACUAGGCAAAAUGGCACCGUAACUUCGGGAGAAGGUGCGCCGGCUAGGGUGAAGGAUUUACUCCGUAAGCUCUGGCUGGUCGAAGAUACCAGGCCGCUGCGACUGUUUAUUAAAAACACAGCACUCUGCAAACACGAAAGUGGACGUAUAGGGUGUGACGCCUGCCCGGUGCCGGAAGGUUAAUUGAUGGGGUUAGCGCAAGCGAAGCUCUUGAUCGAAGCCCCGGUAAACGGCGGCCGUAACAAUAACGGUCCUAAGGUAGCGAAAUUCCUUGUCGGGUAAGUUCCGACCUGCACGAAUGGCGUAACGAUGGCGGCGCUGUCUCCACCCGAGACUCAGUGAAAUUGAAAUCGCUGUGAAGAUGCAGUGUAUCCGCGGCUAGACGGAAAGACCCCGUGAACCUUUACUGUAGCUUUGCACUGGACUUUGAGCCUGCUUGUGUAGGAUAGGUGGGAGGCUUUGAAGCGUGGACGCCAGUUCGCGUGGAGCCAUCCUUGAAAUACCACCCUGGCAUGCUUGAGGUUCUAACUCUGGUCCGUAAUCCGGAUCGAGGACAGUGUAUGGUGGGCAGUUUGACUGGGGCGGUCUCCUCCUAAAGAGUAACGGAGGAGUACGAAGGUGCGCUCAGACCGGUCGGAAAUCGGUCGCAGAGUAUAAAGGCAAAAGCGCGCUUGACUGCGAGACAGACACGUCGAGCAGGUACGAAAGUAGGUCUUAGUGAUCCGGUGGUUCUGUAUGGAAGGGCCAUCGCUCAACGGAUAAAAGGUACUCCGGGGAUAACAGGCUGAUACCGCCCAAGAGUUCAUAUCGACGGCGGUGUUUGGCACCUCGAUGUCGGCUCAUCACAUCCUGGGGCUGAAGCCGGUCCCAAGGGUAUGGCUGUUCGCCAUUUAAAGUGGUACGCGAGCUGGGUUUAGAACGUCGUGAGACAGUUCGGUCCCUAUCUGCCGUGGACGUUUGAGAUUUGAGAGGGGCUGCUCCUAGUACGAGAGGACCGGAGUGGACGAACCUCUGGUGUUCCGGUUGUCA
Molecule: ribosomal RNA, 1241 nt
Filed under: metagenome
Description: bacterial LSU rRNA
Rfam family: Bacterial large subunit ribosomal RNA
Source: RNAcentral